UUUCUUCCCUGAACCACCACCCUUCCUAUGACGUAACAUCUGAACAUGCUACGAGGAAAACUACUGGACGGAUUCAGAGGGCAGCUCAGAUGAAGACUCGAGAGUAACCAGAACUCGCAGGAGGUCUCCCGGUAUUUGCAUUUCCAGCUGAGGUGGUCGGGGAUGUCCUUCCGCAUCAUACGCUCCUGGCACUUCCCCAGCGGACACGGCACCUCAUAGUACGGACACACAUUCAGGUGGGACUGGGGUGGUGGCGCCGUCCUCUGGCGUGACCUCCAUCUUCUCUUCCUCGCUGUUCUUCGCCCCGUCGCUGCUCUCCACGCCGUGCUCUGCCUCCCACUCCUGCAGCACCUCGUCCAGGUUGAAGCGUCGCCGGUAGUUCACAAAGAAAUUCUUCACCUGGACCACAGACUUGUUCCCGAUUACAUCGGAGAUGGCCUGGAAGUCCCGGCCGUACUUGCGAAUAGCUGCAAAGAGAGAGAAAACUAAUUUAUUCAUCUGGCAGACGACUGUUUCCAAAGUGACUCACAACUCAAGCUGCAUCAAGUUAGGACACAAGCAUUUAUAAAAUCCACUGGAAAAUUGUUGAUAGCAUUAUUACUGAAAAAUAUACAUUGUGGAAAA
Sardina pilchardus (European sardine) is the source of this 624-nucleotide long non-coding RNA. RefSeq lists it as uncharacterized. Lineage: Eukaryota; Metazoa; Chordata; Actinopteri; Clupeiformes; Clupeidae. The record is from RefSeq and is a predicted model, not a curated record. The transcript has 3 exons.